This is a long non-coding RNA of Tachysurus fulvidraco (yellow catfish), 210 nucleotides long. RefSeq lists it as uncharacterized. Lineage: Eukaryota; Metazoa; Chordata; Actinopteri; Siluriformes; Bagridae. The record is from RefSeq and is a predicted model, not a curated record. The transcript has 3 exons.
AUUUCACACAAACACACAGCAAGCUGCUCUCUGACAAAAAGAACUUCUUCUGGCUGAUGCUGAGCUUUAAACUCACAGAGCAUCACCAUGGAAACCGUGUCAGUCGUGCUCUUUCUGCUAUCAGCUUUUACUCCUCCAGUCCAGAACCAACUCACUUCACUCCAUUACAUUCCGGGUCGCAUGAAUCAGACUGACGCUCGGGAAGCUUGC